AGCUACCCUGACAUUAUAUUCUUUGCCAGGAUGGUAGAAUUCUGCAAGUCCCCAGUCAAUCAAGCGUAGUUUUCGCAACUCAUGGUCAAUCAUUACAUUGUGAGGUUUCACAUCUCUAUGCAUUAUGCCUUGUGAAUGGCAAUAAUCUAGUGCCUUGAGAAGCUCAUAUAUAUAGUAGCGAAUGUCAUAAUCUGUCAAUGUUGGGUAAAAAAUUUUAAAAUCUGUACUGUUAACAUAUUCAAAAAUCA
This 248-nucleotide unclassified non-coding RNA is filed under the name Hevea brasiliensis (rubber tree). Lineage: Eukaryota; Viridiplantae; Streptophyta; Magnoliopsida; Malpighiales; Euphorbiaceae. The record is from RNAcentral.